GCCUCAGUAACGGCGAGUGAAGCGGCAAAAGCUCAAAUUUGAAAUCUAGCACCUUCGGUGUUCGAGUUGUAAUUUGAAGAUGGCAACCUUGGGUUUGGCUCUUGUCUAUGUUCCUUGGAACAGGACGUCAUAGAGGGUGAGAAUCCCGUCUGAUGAGAUGCCCAUUCCUUUGUAAGGUGCUAUCGAAGAGUCGAGUUGUUUGGGAAUA
RNAcentral lists this ribosomal RNA (208 nucleotides) under Hansenula sydowiorum. RNAcentral's name for it is "Wickerhamomyces sydowiorum partial 26S ribosomal RNA". It matches the Rfam family "Eukaryotic large subunit ribosomal RNA", at positions 77 to 282 of the family's 3401-position model. The record is from RNAcentral. Lineage: Eukaryota; Fungi; Ascomycota; Saccharomycetes; Phaffomycetales; Wickerhamomycetaceae.